GGGUUGUGGGACAGCUUAUUGUAAAGUGUGAUUGUUAGAUGAAGCAGAAUGAAUGCUGCGCCAUAGUAGGUGAAAGUCCUGUAGUCGAAAACUUAUACAUUUUAAAGCUUCAUCCCAAGUAGGGAGGGACACGUGAAACCCCUUUUGAAUUUGCGAGGACCACCUCGUAAGACUAAAUAUUCCUGAAUAACCGAUAGUGAACCAGUACCGUGA
Molecule: ribosomal RNA, 213 nt
Filed under: uncultured Phaeocystis
Lineage: Eukaryota; Haptophyta; Phaeocystales; Phaeocystaceae
Description: partial Bacterial large subunit ribosomal RNA
Rfam family: Bacterial large subunit ribosomal RNA
Source: RNAcentral